Small nuclear RNA from Heterocephalus glaber (naked mole-rat), 187 nucleotides. Its record names the gene U2. It matches the Rfam family "U2 spliceosomal RNA". Rfam says of the family: U2 is a small nuclear RNA (snRNA) component of the spliceosome (involved in pre-mRNA splicing). Lineage: Eukaryota; Metazoa; Chordata; Mammalia; Rodentia; Bathyergidae. The record is from Ensembl.
AUCGCUUCUCAGCCUUUUGGCUAAGAUCAAGUGUAAAACAGUAUCAUGAAAUAGGAAAAACUAUUGCCUGAGUGAAAAUCAGUUGAUGUAAUACAACUUUAUGGAGGUGUAAUUUAAUCCAUAAGGAAUUCUUUUAUAAAUCAGAGGCUGUUAUGUCUUGGAAUUGUUAUAAAGAGCUAUGAACCAU